This 326-nucleotide long non-coding RNA is filed under the name Brassica rapa (field mustard). RNAcentral's name for it is "long non-coding RNA (BRAP_LNC004714)". The record is from RNAcentral. Lineage: Eukaryota; Viridiplantae; Streptophyta; Magnoliopsida; Brassicales; Brassicaceae.
UGGAGGCGCGUGGUUUCGCACGGUGUCAUUGGCGCGUGAGGAAACAGCAACGCACGAUCACACGGGAUGACCCACAUGCUCCAUCUCCCAUGUUACUGUACGCAAAGUAACUAAAACCCUUGACCAAUAUUGCUCACAUUUAAAACUUAUAACAUGUUAAACUAAAGUUAGAGAUAAAGGCAAAGCACAAACGUUACUGGAGGAAUAAAAAGAAAGGAAUAGCUUUGAAAAUGUCAUUGUUCAUAAAAGUAGAAACCAUGAUGAUGUUGUUCAUAUGUAAAUAUUCACCUCACAUGUAUAUGAUUGGUUUAUAACCUUUGAUUGCC